GACCCAGACUCCUACGGGAGGCAGCAGUCGGGAAUAUUGCGCAAUGGAGGCAACUCUGACGCAGUGACGCCGCGUAUAGGAAGAAGGUUUUCGGAUUGUAAACUAUUGUCCACAGGGAAGAAAAAGACUGUACCUGUGAAGAAAGCUCCGGCUAACUCCGUGCCAGCAGCCGCGGUAAUACGGAGGAUGCGAGCGUUAUCCGGAUUUAUUGGGUUUAAAGGGUGCGCAGGCGGAUUUUUAAGUCAGCGGUCAAAUCGUGGGGCUCACCCCCAUCCAGCCGUUGAAACUGGGGAUCUAGAGUGUGCGAGAGGUAUGCGGAAUGCGUGGUGUAGCGGUGAAAUGCAUAGAUAUCACGCAGAACCCCGAUUGCGAAGGCAGCAUACCGGUGCACAACUGACGCUCAGGCACGAAAGCGUGGGUAUCGAACAGGAUUAGAUACCCUGGUAU
RNAcentral lists this ribosomal RNA (447 nucleotides) under uncultured bacterium. RNAcentral describes it as "bacterial SSU rRNA". It matches the Rfam family "Bacterial small subunit ribosomal RNA", at positions 328 to 793 of the family's 1533-position model. The record is from RNAcentral.